This 254-nucleotide ribosomal RNA is filed under the name uncultured bacterium. RNAcentral describes it as "partial 16S ribosomal RNA". It matches the Rfam family "Bacterial small subunit ribosomal RNA", at positions 524 to 776 of the family's 1533-position model. The record is from RNAcentral.
GACGAACCGUGCGAACGUUAUUCGGAAUCACUGGGCUUAAAGCGCAUGUAGGCGGGAGGGCACGUCCGUCGCUGAAAUCCCCCGGCUCAACCGGGGAACGGGCGCGGAUACGACCUUCCUUGAGGGGCGUAGGGGGACCUGGAACCUCCGGUGGAGCGGUGAAAUGCGUUGAGAUCGGAAGGAACGCCCGUGGCGAAAGCGGCUCACUGGACCAUUACUGACGCUGAUGCACGAAAGCUAGGGGAGCAAACAGG